RNAcentral lists this transfer RNA (82 nucleotides) under uncultured Anaerofilum sp. It matches the Rfam family "tRNA". Rfam says of the family: Transfer RNA (tRNA) molecules are approximately 80 nucleotides in length. Their secondary structure includes four short double-helical elements and three loops (D, anti-codon, and T loops). Lineage: Bacteria; Bacillati; Bacillota; Clostridia; Eubacteriales; Oscillospiraceae. The record is from RNAcentral.
GAGAGGUGUCCGAGUGGUUUAAGGAGCCGGUCUUGAAAACCGGUGACCCGUCAGGGCCGUGGGUUCGAAUCCCACCCUCUCC